UACGUAGGGGGCUAGCGUUGUCCGGAAUCAUUGGGCGUAAAGCGCGUGUAGGCGGUCCGGUAAGUCCGCUGUGAAAGUCGAGGGCUCAACCCUCGAAUGCCGGUGGAUACUGUCGGGCUAGAGUACGGAAGAGGCGAGUGGAAUUCCUGGUGUAGCGGUGAAAUGCGCAGAUAUCAGGAGGAACACCAAUUGCGAAGGCAGCUCGCUGGGACGUGACUGACGCUGAGACGCGAAAGCGUGGGGAGCAAACAGG
This 253-nucleotide ribosomal RNA is filed under the name uncultured bacterium. RNAcentral's name for it is "partial 16S ribosomal RNA". It matches the Rfam family "Bacterial small subunit ribosomal RNA", at positions 524 to 776 of the family's 1533-position model. The record is from RNAcentral.